GAUGAACGCUGGCGGCGUGCCUAAUACAUGCAAGUCGAGCGUACGGACGAGAAGCUUGCUUCUCUGAUGUUAGCGGCGGACGGGUGAGUAACACGUGGAUAACCUACCUAUAAGACUGGGAUAACUUCGGGAAACCGGAGCUAAUACCGGAUAAUAUUUUGAACCGCAUGGUUCAAAAGUGAAAGACGGUCUUGCUGUCACUUAUAGAUGGAUCCGCGCUGCAUUAGCUAGUUGGUAAGGUAACGGCUUACCAAGGCAACGAUGCAUAGCCGACCUGAGAGGGUGAUCGGCCACACUGGAACUGAGACACGGUCCAGACUCCUACGGGAGGCAGCAGUAGGGAAUCUUCCGCAAAGGGCGAAAGCCUGACGGAGCAACGCCGCGUGAGUGAUGAAGGUCUUCGGAUCGUAAAACUCUGUUAUUAGGGAAGAACAUAUGUGUAAGUAACUGUGCACAUCUUGACGGUACCUAAUCAGAAAGCCACGGCUAACUACGUG
This 497-nucleotide ribosomal RNA is filed under the name uncultured bacterium. Its description in RNAcentral is "partial 16S ribosomal RNA". It matches the Rfam family "Bacterial small subunit ribosomal RNA", at positions 28 to 507 of the family's 1533-position model. The record is from RNAcentral.